Molecule: long non-coding RNA, 2421 nt
Organism: Physcomitrium patens
Lineage: Eukaryota; Viridiplantae; Streptophyta; Bryopsida; Funariales; Funariaceae
Source: RefSeq, a predicted model, not a curated record
AAUCAAUAUCUGAGAAAACAUUACAGAACAUCUGUUUGCAUUAUAAAUGUGUGUGAGCAUGUUUACAAGAAUCGUCUAUUAUAUUAACCUACAAUAAUUAUGAUAGUAAAAACAAAGAAAACAAUUAUUUGUUUCAGAUAUAUUUUUGUUCCCUAAUGCCCAUCCCCUAUUCCUUAUCACUGUAAAUGACAACAAUAACCUUGGCUAGAGGUUUUUUUUUUGUCCUUUUAAAUUGUUUUGUGACUAAAACGUUGUUGAUGUUGCAUUGCAAUCUUGUAUUUGCAAUUAGAAUAUUAUACACCUUGUUUUAAUUUAACUACUGUUGGAUUACUUGAUUGUGUUUCGUGUACAUGUGGAAUCUAAAAAAAUUUAGCUGAAAUUUGUAAUGUACAUGUCUUUUGAAAUAUACAGCAUGUGUAAAAUCCAUAGUUGAAAGUUUUGGGGUUCAAGAUUGAUUUUCCAAAUAAGAAACAUAAAUUAUUUUGAAAAUUAUAUAUCAUUUUCUAUAAAAUAGGAGUGAAAACAAGGGACAGGCAUUGAGAACGGGGGCUGGGAACAGGGGCUAGGGAUGAAGGGACAGUGGCUGAGAACGGGGACAAGGGGUCAGGACGGGGAACUGGGGACUGCUGGUCGAUUCGGUAAAUGCUGGGGUCGAUUUAACAUUCCUCUUGAUUUAAAACAAGAAUAUUACGCACGUGCUUGUCACGAAGAUUGAAACAUCAUGAACCCUGCUAGAAUGAAGAGUUUCUGGACAUGCAACGCGAGCUUUCGCUCUGUUCUUGAUGAGCCUCAAGGUUUUGCAUGCGACCUGCAUUGCUUCCGCAGGCUGCAUCGAGACCGAUCGGUGUGGAGCUUGCUAUGCUUCCACAAGUUGAUUCAAGGUCUACUCAUAUCUCGCUUCCCCGUCAGCCGAUAGCGAGUGCUUCCGAGGAUUCCGAUGCGACGAGAGAAGGUGCCCGACAUUUUCCAAGCAUCGUCUAACAGAGGAGGCUCUGUUUCACAAAUACGUGGUCUACGCUGCCCGCGGUGUGGUGCCUCGCUUCUGUCACCUCUGAAACGCCGUUCACAGGGGAUGCAAAUGUCUUUCUGGUCGGAAUCCUCUCACUCUUGUGUGUCACUGCCGUCGUGCUAAAGGGCGGUCAGGUUGGCCCGCACUACUCCGUGAUACAUGAUGCAAUGCAAGCUGCAAUUCAACCCUCGACUGGGCUGGUCAACAAAUCUGGGAGGUUCGAAACGAUGAGUCAGCUUUAAGCUUGUGGAUCCUAUGUUAAUAUCGUCAUGCCAUAACGACAAAGAUGAGCUUCUGAACUUAUUCUUGCUUUGCGAUACAUUGGAUACGUUAUGCUGAUUUUUAUUUUAGAAUAAAGUGAAACUCUAUGAGAAUGAAGAAGCUCUUUACUAACAUUCGUUAUUCUAGAGGCGUUAGCUGUUUCUUGGUUUCACUCAUUCAUCGUUUAUUCAUCCACCCGUCUUUAGUCAUCUUCUUUUGCUGCUUCGUUCGUUUUUUGUUUUUUUAAAUAUUUUUCUUCUUUAUCGAGAAAGACUUGGCUGAGUUUCGACUGCGGAGGCCAGCUUUGUCAGAAAGCUUCACCACCUGGUCAGGUAGGAGGGGGUGGAGGUUCUGCCAACACAGCUAGAUCAUCCCUGAAGGUGCGGGCCUCAUGAAUAAUCGACACUGUAGCUGGAGUUCUUCCUGAUGCUUGCGAGAAUCGCUGCUCCACUCCAGAUUGUAGUCGCAGGUGGUGAAGCAGAAGGAGACAUAGAUAUAGAUGUAGAUGUAGAAGAUGAUGAAGGAGAAGAUGAAGUGCAAGAGGUGGAGUAAGUAUAAGGAGGGAGGGAGGGAGGGAAGAGGAAGUGAGUAGGCCGGUGUCCACUUCAUGGAGCAAUCGCCAUUUAUGAGCCUCCCACUGCAUUGAUACCUCCUCUCCUCCUUCGAUCGCUCAUCCAUCCUCAUACUCGUUCGUACCCUUUGCUUGCUCGCUAGCUCACUUGCUGUACUAUCCUUAUAUUCAGCUACCGCAGUGGAAAUUUUCCUGGCUUCUCAUUACUCUCGUCGUCUGAAACUGCAGACAAAGGUCCGUCAGCCUUACUCCAGGGCCGACGCAGCAGCUCUUGCCAGUGCUUUCCUUCGAUGCUACUGCGUCCUUUUCAUCAAGCUCUAACUGAAAUGAAAACAAUAAAACAACACCAGGUUCGACAAGCGUUGCAUUCGAGGAUCUGACGACUUCUUCAUUGAUGGUGAGUUUUAAAAAAUACGUGUGAUCGAAAUACUUAGAUUAGUAUAAUUGAUAAUUUCUUCACCCUACAAACCAAUUCUGUGGUUGGUUUUUGAAUGUUGUAAUUGGCAAUGCGACAAGAAUAUUUGUAUACCAGUUAUUCUUAUUCUUAUUCUUAUUACUACUACUACUAAUUUCAAUUUCA